Molecule: long non-coding RNA, 746 nt
Filed under: Trifolium pratense (red clover)
Lineage: Eukaryota; Viridiplantae; Streptophyta; Magnoliopsida; Fabales; Fabaceae
Description: long non-coding RNA (TPRA_LNC008212)
Source: RNAcentral
AGUUUUAUGUCUUUAAACUCAUGUUACUCCCGGUGAGAUAUUCAGCCACUUCUUCUAAUUGGCCCGUCUUGUCUUACACCAUUUUUUACGGAUUGCCGACGGGGCCGGAAUGGACCCGUUUUACCAUCCAUAUUUCAAUUUGAAGUUUCGGGUAUAUAAAUAAAAUAUAUUAUAUUAUUUCAGCUACUCUUUCUUUUCAUUAUUUUUGAGUAAAUUCUUUUCCAUAUUGUAGAGUACAUCAACUAAAGAUAAUAAUUUCUAUUAUUAAACAUAGGAGCUCUAAUGGCUAUCUCAAAUAAAAUUUUAAUUCCGUCCUUUAAUUUGAGAUUACGUACAAUAUAAAUCUCUUACAAUCGACCGUCUUUUAUUUCGACACACUUGCAUUUAAAAGAAAUGCAUUUUGGAACCAAAGGAGAUUUACAAAACCACCGGGAACAAUCAAUCGUAUCCUUGCACUUUACCAAGAAUGUUAUUGCUGCAAUAAAAAAAAAGUUUCUGAAAGAGGUGAGUUAUUUUGUAGUAUAUAAGAUAAAUAAAAAAGUUCAAAAGAGUACAAAAUUUAUUUACCAGUAACGUCAGUUACAACAAAUAAUAAGGAAAUAACGAGGAUUAUUAAAUAAAUAAACUUUAAAAUUUCAGCCAUAUUUUUUCUUCAAAAUUUGCAAAUGUAUUGGUCACUUUAUGUAAUAAAACUACUAUGUCUUGUUUAUUUGUUUCAAUUAUUUACACUUAUAUAUAGAUCUUCA